GAUGGCCCACCAAGGCUUCGACGGGUAGCCGGCCUGAGAGGGCGACCGGCCACAUUGGGACUGAGAUACGGCCCAGACUCCUACGGGAGGCAGCAGUGGGGAAUAUUGCGCAAUGGGCGAAAGCCUGACGCAGCGACGCCGCGUGCGGGAUGGAGGCCUUCGGGUUGUAAACCGCUUUUAUCGGGGAGCAAGCGAGAGUGAGUGUACCCGUUGAAUAAGCACCGGCUAACUAC
This 233-nucleotide ribosomal RNA is filed under the name uncultured bacterium. Its description in RNAcentral is "partial 16S ribosomal RNA". It matches the Rfam family "Bacterial small subunit ribosomal RNA", at positions 259 to 504 of the family's 1533-position model. The record is from RNAcentral.